RNAcentral lists this ribosomal RNA (689 nucleotides) under Brevundimonas sp. B83. RNAcentral describes it as "bacterial SSU rRNA". It matches the Rfam family "Bacterial small subunit ribosomal RNA", at positions 72 to 803 of the family's 1533-position model. The record is from RNAcentral. Lineage: Bacteria; Pseudomonadati; Pseudomonadota; Alphaproteobacteria; Caulobacterales; Caulobacteraceae.
GGACCCUUCGGGGUUAGUGGCGGACGGGUGAGUAACACGUGGGAACGUGCCUUUUGGUUCGGAAUAGCUCCUGGAAACGGGUGGUAAUGCCGAAUGUGCCCUUCGGGGGAAAGAUUUAUCGCCAUUAGAGCGGCCCGCGUCUGAUUAGCUAGUUGGUGAGGUAAAGGCUUACCAAGGCUACGAUCAGUAGCUGGUCUGAGAGGAUGACCAGCCACAUUGGGACUGAGACACGGCCCAAACUCCUACGGGAGGCAGCAGUGGGGAAUCUUGCGCAAUGGGCGAAAGCCUGACGCAGCCAUGCCGCGUGAAUGAUGAAGGUCUUAGGAUUGUAAAAUUCUUUCACCGGGGACGAUAAUGACGGUACCCGGAGAAGAAGCCCCGGCUAACUUCGUGCCAGCAGCCGCGGUAAUACGAAGGGGGCUAGCGUUGCUCGGAAUUACUGGGCGUAAAGGGAGCGUAGGCGGACAUUUAAGUCAGGGGUGAAAUCCCAGAGCUCAACUCUGGAACUGCCUUUGAUACUGGAUGUCUUGAGUGUGAGAGAGGUAUGUGGAACUCCGAGUGUAGAGGUGAAAUUCGUAGAUAUUCGGAAGAACACCAGUGGCGAAGGCGACAUACUGGCUCAUUACUGACGCUGAGGCUCGAAAGCGUGGGGAGCAAACAGGAUUAGAUACCCUGGUAGUCCACGCCGU